UACGAAGGGUCCAAGCGUUGUUCGGAAUCAUUGGGCGUAAAGCGCGCGCAGGCGGAUCAGUAAGUCAGGUGUGAAAUCUCGAGGCUCAACCUCGAAAUUGCGCCUGAAACUACUAGUCUAGAGUGUCGGAGGGGGCAGGGGAAUUUCAUGUGUAGGGGUAAAAUCCGUAGAGAUGUGAAGGAACACCGGAGGCGAAAGCGCCUGCCUGGACGACUACUGACGCUGAGGCGCGAAAGCGUGGGGAGCAAACAGG
Molecule: ribosomal RNA, 253 nt
Filed under: uncultured bacterium
Lineage: Bacteria
Description: partial 16S ribosomal RNA
Rfam family: Bacterial small subunit ribosomal RNA
Source: RNAcentral